Molecule: long non-coding RNA, 1025 nt
Filed under: Pogona vitticeps (central bearded dragon)
Lineage: Eukaryota; Metazoa; Chordata; Lepidosauria; Squamata; Agamidae
Description: lncRNA (ENSPVIG00000011062.1)
Source: RNAcentral
CUUUGCCUUUGGAGGGCCCAGAGAUUGCUUAGAUGGAUCCCACAUUUAGAGGACGCCCGGAGAGAGAAGAGGAGGGGGAGGGUGCUUUUAUUAGAUCACUCAGAUCGCCCGCCCUGAGAGGCUAGCUUUCCACUGCGCUGGACUUUCUGUCAGUUUGGGCAUUACAGAGGGAGGGGGGUUUGGGAGGUCAUGGAGAAGAAGCAGGGAAAUGUCCGGAUCCGUGGCCAGUCAAGGUGGGCCAUGAUCCUCCUUUAAGGCAAGCUCCAAAAUGGGCCUCGUGUGUCCAGUUCACAGCUCCGGGUUCAAGUGUCUUCUUCUUGGCCGAGAGAACAUUCUCCCUCCCCUGUGCCAUACAACCCCCCUCCCUUCCCCGCUUCCUCUUUCGGCUCUCCCUGCCUCGGCGGUGUCUCCUCUCCCGCCCAUCUCCCGGUGAGAGUCCUACCCGAGGGAGCCUCUCCUGGCAACAGGCUGGUCAUAGAGGGGGGCUUUUUUCAUUGGCCGAGGUGGCGGUGGCCCCACCCAUUCCUCUCCCCCCGUGGUCCAUCUCCUCCCCUCCCGACGGAGCGCCCCGUCUCCCCCUCCUCGCUCUCCCCGACGCCUCCUCUAGUCUUCCCGCCGCGCCUGCUCGGAGGAAGGUCCCGUCGGUCUUGCUUGCCUUGCGGGGGAGCGGGGACAGGCAUGGCAGCCGGCGGAGAAGCCUUUCUCUUGGCCCUCGGGGGGCUCCUGCUCGCCCUGCCCGCUGCCACGGGGGGGAAAGUCCCCAGCCAGACACGCCACCCCUCCUGCAUCGAGUGUGGGAAAGUCCCCGGGCCUGAUCCUUCCUCCAGAGAGACAAGGGGGAGGAAGAAAGCAAGGCCGGAGGGGCAGCCAAGACCUCCGCCGUACAUGAGAGACAAAGGCAUUUAUGAGAUCACGACUGAUGGGCUAGAUUUCGACUGGCAGGGAAUUCUAGUCCACUGUAUAUUUAGCUGGAGAUGGGCAGAUUCCUGCCUGUCCUUGUGAGAGAUUCCCUGUGGGUGAAGCGC